Sinocyclocheilus grahami is the source of this 279-nucleotide long non-coding RNA. RefSeq lists it as uncharacterized. NCBI's taxonomy places the organism in Eukaryota, Metazoa, Chordata, Actinopteri, Cypriniformes, Cyprinidae. The transcript has 3 exons. The record is from RefSeq and is a predicted model, not a curated record.
UUCACAGGAUUGUCAGUGUAAGAUGGAGUAUGGAGAGUGAAUAAUCUGCUGGAGAUAGAAAUCGGGUGGCCAACACUGGUCCUGGAGAGCCUGCGUCCUGCAGAGUUCAACUCUAAUCAAACACACCUGAACCUACUAAUCAAGGUCUAAGUGUUACUAGAAAGCUACAAGCAGCGAGUGCUGUUGGAGGCACAGCUUGACUCUGAUGUGAAGAGCUGAAUCAAGAGAAACAGAGGAGACUGAACACUGCCUCAGAGGAGAGUGUUCUGCAUGUAUUGU